Molecule: ribosomal RNA, 1367 nt
Filed under: uncultured bacterium
Lineage: Bacteria
Description: bacterial SSU rRNA
Rfam family: Bacterial small subunit ribosomal RNA
Source: RNAcentral
GACGAACGCUGGCGGUAUGCUUAACACAUGCAAGUCGAACGAGAAGUCAGCUAAUCAAUCCUUCGGGAGAGAAAAGCUGAUGGAAAGUGGCGAACGGGUGAGUAACGCGUGAGCAACCUACCUUAUGGAGGGGGAUAGCCCCGGGAAACUGGGAGUAAUACCCUAUAAGACCACACCAUUGCAUAAUGGAGGGGUCAAACGCAUUAGUGCCAUAAGAUGGGCUCGCGUCUGAUUAGAUAGUUGGUGAGGUAACGGCUCACCAAGUCAACGAUCAGUAGCCGGUCUGAGAGGGCGAACGGCCACAUUGGAACUGAGACACGGUCCAAACUCCUACGGGAGGCAGCAGUGAGGAAUAUUGGUCAAUGGGCGGAAGCCUGAACCAGCCAAGUCGCGUGAAGGAGGACGGCCCUAUGGGUUGUAAACUUCUUUAGCAGCAGAGUAAUAAGGGGGUCGCGACCCCCGAUGCAAGUAUGCUGAGAAUAAGGAUCGGCUAACUCCGUGCCAGCAGCCGCGGUAAUACGGAGGAUCCGAGCGUUAUCCGGAUUUAUUGGGUUUAAAGGGUGCGCAGGCGGCUUGUUAAGUCAGCGGUCAAAUCGCGGGGCUCAACCCCGCUCCGCCGUUGAUACUGGCGAGCUUGAUUGUGGUCGAGGUUGGCGGAAUUCGUCGUGUAGCGGUGAAAUGCAUAGAUAUGACGAAGAACCCCGAUUGCGUAGGCAGCUGACCAGGCCACAAAUGACGCUCAGGCACGAAAGUGCGGGGAUCGAACAGGAUUAGAUACCCUGGUAGUCCGCACAGUAAACGAUGAAUACUUGUUUUGGGCGAUAGAAUGUCCGAGGCAAAGCGAAAGCGAUAAGUAUUCCACCUGGGGAGUACGCCGGCAACGGUGAAACUCAAAGGAAUUGACGGGGGCCCGCACAAGCGGAGGAACAUGUGGUUUAAUUCGAUGCUACGCGAGGAACCUUACCCGGGCUUGAAAGUUAUCGACUGGGGCUGAAAGGCCCCAUCCCUUCGGGGCGAGAAACUAGGUGCUGCAUGGUUGUCGUCAGCUCGUGCCGUGAGGUGUCGGCUUAAGUGCCAUAACGAGCGCAACCCUGUUCUCCAGUUGCCAUCAUCAGGUUGGGGACUCUGGAGACACUGCCAUCGCAAGAUGAGAGGAAGGAUGGGAUGACGUCAAAUCAGCACGGCCCUUACGUCCGGGGCGACACACGUGUUACAAUGGGGAGGACAGCAAGGAACGAAGCGGCGACGCUGAGGGAAUCUCGAAACCUCCUCCCAGUUCGGAUUGGAGUCUGCAACUCGACUCCAUGAAGCUGGAUUCGCUAGUAAUCGCGCAUCAGCCAUGGCGCGGUGAAUACGUUCCCGGGCCU